CCUACGGGGGGCAGCAGUGAGGAAUAUUGGUCAAUGGCCGGGAGGCUGAACCAGCCAAGUCGCGUGAGGGAAGACGGCCCUACGGGUUGUAAACCUCUUUUGUCAGGGAGCAAGGUGCAGGUCGGGACCUGCUGUGAGAGUACCUGAAGAAAAAGCAUCGGCUAACUACGUGCCAGCAGCCGCGGUAAUACGUAGGGGGCAAGCGUUAUCCGGAUUUACUGGGUGUAAAGGGGGCGCAGACGGCAAUGCAAGCCAGGAGUGAAAGCCCGGGGCCCAACCCCGGGACUGCUCUUGGAACUGCAUGGCUGGAGUACAGGAGGGGCAGGCGGAAUUCCUAGUGUAGCGGUGAAAUGCGUAGAUAUCACGAAGAACCCCGAUUGCGAAGGCAGCUUACUAAACUGUGACUGACAUUGAUGCUCGAAAGUGUGGGUAUCAAACAGGAUUAGAUACCCGGGUAGUC
Molecule: ribosomal RNA, 460 nt
Filed under: uncultured bacterium
Lineage: Bacteria
Description: partial 16S ribosomal RNA
Rfam family: Bacterial small subunit ribosomal RNA
Source: RNAcentral